RNAcentral lists this ribosomal RNA (252 nucleotides) under uncultured bacterium. RNAcentral's name for it is "partial 16S ribosomal RNA". It matches the Rfam family "Bacterial small subunit ribosomal RNA", at positions 524 to 776 of the family's 1533-position model. The record is from RNAcentral.
UACGUAGGUGGCAAGCGUUGUCCGGAUUUACUGGGCGUAAAGGAUGCGUAGGCGGACAUUUAAGUCAGAUGUGAAAUACCCGAGCUUAACUUGGGUGCUGCAUUUUGAAACUGGGUGUCUAGAGUGCAGGAGAGGUAAAGUGGAAUUCCUAGUGUAGCGGAUGAAAUGCGUAGAGAUUAGGAAGAACGCAGUGGAAAGGCGACUUCUGGACUGUAACUGACUGAGGCAUAAAAGCGUGGGGGAGCAAAACGG